Molecule: transfer RNA, 72 nt
Filed under: archaeon
Lineage: Archaea
Description: tRNA-Phe
Rfam family: tRNA
About the family: Transfer RNA (tRNA) molecules are approximately 80 nucleotides in length. Their secondary structure includes four short double-helical elements and three loops (D, anti-codon, and T loops).
Source: RNAcentral
GGGGGAGUAGCUCAGAGGGAGAGCACUACGCUGAAGACGUAGGCGUCCGGGGUUCGAUUCCCCGCUUCCCCA